Molecule: ribosomal RNA, 484 nt
Filed under: Oxypolella alba
Lineage: Eukaryota; Metazoa; Nemertea; Pilidiophora; Heteronemertea; Lineidae
Description: partial 16S ribosomal RNA
Rfam family: Bacterial large subunit ribosomal RNA
Source: RNAcentral
UUGUUAUAAUAGGUGGUUUCUGCCCAGUGAGAUAUUUAACGGCCGCGGUACUCUGACCGUGCAAAGGUAGCAUAAUCACUUGCCUUUUAAUUGGGGGCUGGUAUGAAUGGAAAAACAAGUGGACUGCUGUCUCCUUAUUUGAAAUUGGAAUUUUCUUUUUGUGUGAAGAAGCACAGAGUCUAUAGAGGGACAAGAAGACCCUGUCGAGCUUUACUAGUGUUCAUUUUUCUUUUUACAUAUAUGUAGGAAGUCAGAUUAUUAUUAGUUUGGUUGGGGUGACCAAAAAAGAUAAAAUCUUUUUUUAAAAAAAGAUAGCUGUAUCUAACAUCGAUCCAGAAAAAUUAUCAAAAGAAUAAGUUACCGCAGGGAUAACAGCGUAAUUUUUUUUGAGAGCUCUAAUCGAAAAAAAAGUUUGCGACCUCGAUGUUGACUUAUUAUUACCUAAGAGGUGUAGCCGCUUAAAAGGUUGGUCUGUUCGACCAUU